GUUUUAUCCAACCUCAGGUCCCCUGCUGCCAUCCUCUGCCGAUAUGGUCCACCAGAGCGGAGAACAAAGUCCCUCGACAAGGUGACCAGCUCCUGAGCCGGGGCAGCCGCAUCCUCUGGAGAUCGGAGGUACCACCCCACUGACAGCCCUCUGAAGUGAGCGACGGUUGUCAUCCCUCAAGCUGGCCUUUUAAGUCCAGUCACACAGGGAUAGAAGUGUGGGGGACACAAGGACACAAAAAUGGAGGAAAGGAGAUUUUGUAAAGACGACACAAGAAGAGAAGAAGAUAAUUUAUGAAGACUGAUCUGUGCAUUUUGCAUGCACUCAAACUUUUAACAUCUCUCUGCAGCAUGUGAGAUGGCUAUUGAAGUUAAACAAGCAGAAAAAAACAGAGAAGUAACAGGAAAGAGCAGUUUGCUUGUGUGUUCAGUGCUUUCACAUGUGAAUGUUUGUGGGAACGUGGCUUUUAAAGAUGGGACACAGCGGACAGAGAAGAUCUAACCACCCGACACUCUGUGCUCUCUGUUGCGGUCUUGUCAUAGGAGAAGAUGAUUACAUGAGGAACUGGAGAAAUUCACUGUGCCCUCUGGAUGUUACCACUGUUACAAAUGUUCUCGCUCGCACAAGCAUGCAUUCUCCUCUUUCAGCAACAAAAACAACACAUGCAUGCACCCACACAGAUGUCAAUUCAUUGUCUCUAUCUGCAUUUGUUUGAACAUGCAUGUGUGUUUAUGACCCUAUUAAAAUGCGUGAGUGUUAAGUGUA
This is a long non-coding RNA of Lates calcarifer (barramundi perch), 765 nucleotides long. RefSeq lists it as uncharacterized. NCBI's taxonomy places the organism in Eukaryota, Metazoa, Chordata, Actinopteri, Centropomidae. The transcript is spliced from 2 exons. The record is from RefSeq and is a predicted model, not a curated record.